CGCGUUGACGGAGCGAAGCGACGUCAAACCGAUAAAACAGCAGUGUAAAGUGAGCCGCAGGGCGCUUUGCGCGACAGCGCAAAGGCAGGCGGUUUCGCGUAGCGAAAGCGAAUGCUUUGGGGUGGGGUGACUGCGUACCUUUUGUAUAAUGGGUCAGCGACUUAUAUUCUGUAGCAAGGUUAACCGAAUAGGGGAGCCGGAGGGAAACCGAGUCUUAAUUGGGCGUUAAGUUGCAGGGUAUAGACCCGAAACCCGGUGAUCUAGCCAUGGGCAGGUUGAAGGUUGGGUAACACUAACUGGAGGACCGAACCGACUAAUGUUGAAAAAUUAGCGGAUGACCUGUGGCUGGGGGUGAAAGGCCAAUCAAACCGGGAGAUAGCUGGUUCUCCCCGAAAGCUAUUUAGGUAGCGCCUCGUGAAUUCAUCUCCGGGGGUAGAGCACUGUUUCGGCUAGGGGGCCAUCCCGGCUUACCAACCCGAUGCAAACUGCGAAUACCGGAGAAUGUUAUCACGGGAGACACACGGCGGGUGCUAACGUCCGUCGUGAAGAGGGAAACAACCCAGACCGCCAGCUAAGGUCCCAAAGUCAUGGUUAAGUGGGAAACGAUGUGGGAAGGCCCAGACAGCCAGGAUGUUGGCUUAGAAGCAGCCAUCAUUUAAAGAAAGCGUAAUAGCUCACUGGUCGAGUCGGCCUGCGCGGAAGAUGUAACGGGGCUAAACCAUGCACCGAAGCUGCGGCAGCGACACUGUGUGUUGUUGGGUAGGGGAGCGUUCUGUAAGCCUGUGAAGGUGUGUCGUGAGGCAUGCUGGAGGUAUCAGAAGUGCGAAUGCUGACAUAAGUAACGAUAAAGCGGGUGAAAAGCCCGCUCGCCGGAAGACCAAGGGUUCCUGUCCAACGUUAAUCGGGGCAGGGUGAGUCGACCCCUAAGGCGAGGCCGAAAGGCGUAGUCGAUGGGAAACGGGUUAAUAUUCCCGUACUUGGUGUUACUGCGAAGGGGGGACGGAGAAGGCUAUGUUGGCCGGG
This 1023-nucleotide ribosomal RNA is filed under the name Salmonella enterica. Its description in RNAcentral is "partial 23S ribosomal RNA". The stretch from base 107 to 1023 matches the Rfam family "Bacterial large subunit ribosomal RNA", at positions 572 to 1495 of the family's 2925-position model. Lineage: Bacteria; Pseudomonadati; Pseudomonadota; Gammaproteobacteria; Enterobacterales; Enterobacteriaceae. The record is from RNAcentral.